This 1236-nucleotide long non-coding RNA is filed under the name Daphnia pulex (common water flea). RNAcentral's name for it is "uncharacterized LOC124188606, transcript variant X7". The record is from RNAcentral. Lineage: Eukaryota; Metazoa; Arthropoda; Branchiopoda; Diplostraca; Daphniidae.
UUCUUUACUAUCGUUGAAAAAAUAUGGCGGUUGGUGACCACGUUAUGAUUUGGAUUUUGGAUUGUCAACGGUACUUUCCGUGUGUGUUAACCUACAGUAACAAGACCCACGGAUAACAAAAGACGUUUACAUCAAAAGUUCGUAAGAAAGAAAGCUUUUGAAUAAAUUUACGAAAAGGACGAAAAGAGCUUGCGAAAUGUGAACGUACGGUAUGAAUGCAGGAUAUCAGCCAGAGGUCAUUCAGGCCCACUUUAAAAUUAAACAAGCAUUAUUAAGCAUGUUCUAUGAGGACCUUGGAGAGUAUGAAAAGUGAUACCAGUUAUCUUUGAUAGCUGCAUAUUUAUCUCCUCAAGAUGCCGAUGAAUGGCUACGAUUAGCCGAGGUCAUGAUCAGAACUAUGGAAAAUAUUCUGUCCACCAGGGAAUGACGCCUUAGGAGAAAGAACUGCGGUUGCGAUCUUCAACAAUAUUGCGUAACAAUAUUGCGUCUUUGCAUGAAUUUUGAUGCUUUAAGACUUGGAGACCAUAUUUUCCACCACUUCGAGAAGCUGAGUAAAAUUCUACUUGUACAAUGUUAAGAAUGGCACCUUUUGAUAAAAGGAACUUCAGCCAUCCAAUCUAGGACUUCCAUCCAAUCGUGCAGGCUGCAUGGAAGUCGCAUUUACCUUUGCUGUGAACAUCAUGAACACAUACACUAUUUGAAGGUUCAUGUUAACAUAGCAGUGGUGUUGCUGUCCAAUGUGGCGUGUUAUUGCAGCCUAUGGCGGUGAAAGAUAUCUGCAUCCAGCAUUGUGUUUAAUUGCUAUUUGUGUCUAUGCAGUUUACCUUUUAUAUAUUGAGAAGGAACACAAAAAAGUAAUACGGGGAGGUUCAUGUCAAACAAAUAAAAACAUGUCCGCGAUUGGGGAAUGAGGAGGGAGUUGGGGUGGGAUAUUUGAUUAUCAUUUACUAAAAGAAGUGAGGUGUGUUUUUAAUGAAUACGCAAUACUUAGUGAUAAAAUUUGUUGUUAACCUAUAUAACCUUCCUCACUUACACAUCCAUUCCUCAAACCCCAUAAACACCAACAUCAAAUCCCACAUCCACUUACAUCCAUUCCUCAAACCCCAUAAACACCAACAUCAAAUCCCACAUCCACUUACAUCCAUUCCUCAAACCCCACAAUCUCCAACAUCAAACCACACAAUUGUUGUAUAUCUAUAACCAUCUAUAUAUAUAAAUAAAUUAAAUGUCAUUGUA